CAGCCGCCACGGUAAUACGUAGGGUGCGAGCGUUAAUCGGAAUUACUGGGCGUAAAGCGUGCGCAGGCGGUUCGUUAAGACAGAUGUGAAAUCCCCGGGCUUAACCUGGGAACUGCAUUUGUGACUGGCGAGCUAGAGUAUGGCAGAGGGGGGUAGAAUUCCACGUGUAGCAGUGAAAUGCGUAGAGAUGUGGAGGAAUACCGAUGGCGAAGGCAGCCCCCUGGGCCAAUACUGACGCUUAUGCACGAAAGCGUGGGGAGCAAACAGGAUUAGAUACCCCUGUAGUCCCUGUCUCUUAUAA
This 301-nucleotide ribosomal RNA is filed under the name uncultured bacterium. RNAcentral describes it as "partial 16S ribosomal RNA". It matches the Rfam family "Bacterial small subunit ribosomal RNA", at positions 509 to 809 of the family's 1533-position model. The record is from RNAcentral.